This 357-nucleotide ribosomal RNA is filed under the name Triticum aestivum (bread wheat). RNAcentral describes it as "partial small subunit ribosomal RNA". Lineage: Eukaryota; Viridiplantae; Streptophyta; Magnoliopsida; Poales; Poaceae. The record is from RNAcentral.
AUGCUAAAAUUCACGGAAAAUUUCAGCAUGACCUUUGCUGAAAAUAGGACAUAUGGAGUACCCGAAUUUGCCGGAACGGAAGUUAAUCGACAUUCCAGCAAACUCAAGGGCCUCUCGGGUGGACAAGGCAAAGAAGGCCUCCAUCACAACAUGGAAAAUAUAUUGGCAUGUGAAGAGGUGAAACAAUAUAUGCAUCUCCAAGCAGUAUUAUUCAACAUUUUGGACAAACCACUACAAGCAAUACUGGAUCAGAUACAAGAAGAAUAUGAGAAAAUGCAGACAAAUACUAACAGAUUGAGGUGUUUAACUUGUGGUGCUCUCUGUGCUAUUAACAUUUCAAGUCAAAACCUUUUCUAG